AAGAAGAUCGACCAUGCACGCAUAGUGCUCUAUCUCAGGUUCAAUCUUGAAGUUCUGUCGCAUCUGAGAAAAAAGCCAAUGGCCUUCGGCAACAAGACCGGCAUGACUACAGGCAGACAGAGCAGCAAUAAAAGUAACACCAUCUGGUCUAUAUCCUGAUUUAAUCAUAUGAUUAAAAGUUGCAAGAGCAUCUUUACCAAGUCCAUGCGUUCCAUAUCCUGCAAUCAUUGAAUUCCAUGAGAUUGAAUCUCGAUUUUCAAGUUUUUCAAACACCAUAAAUCCUGGCUUGAAACUUCCACAUUUUGUAUACAUGUUAAUCAAUCCAUUUCCAACCAAUACGUUAUCAUCCAUCCGAGCUCUAAUGACAUGACCAUGCAUUUCCCUACCAAGAUUAAGAGCUGCUAGCAUAGCACAAAUUGAUAAAACACUAGCUAUCGUCACUGAGUUUGCCUUUACAUUUGCAAGCUGCAUUUUACGAAAAACUUCCAAAGAUUCUUCUCCUAGUCCCUUGGAAGCAAAUCCACAAAUGAUUGCACUCCAAGUUAUAACAUUUGGUUUCAUCUCUGGAUAGGCUUCCAUUUUCUCCAGCUGAGAGAGCAAUUCCAAAGCUUUGUCAUAUACUCCAGAUUCAGCAAAGGAGGAUAUAAGAGCGUUCCAACUCACAAGAUUUUUCACUUUCAUCUCAUGAAAUAACUUCUCUGCAUCUCCUACCCCUCCUCCUUUUCCAUAUAAGGUUAUAAGUGCAUUCUUAGCAAACAAGUAAUCAUUGAAACCUCCCUUGACCAUAUAUCCAUGAAUCAUCUGACCGCUGUUCAAUGUAGCUAAAUCAGCACAAACAGAUAACACCACAGCAAGCAUUUCAGCAGUGGGACCAACACCUUUCAUCCUCAUCUUGCAAAACAAUACCAUAGUUUCUUCAAGAUGACCACACCGAGCAUGGCUCGACAGCAAUGAAGUCCAAGUUACUGGGUUUGGCUCAACCCCCUCCAACUCCAUUUGAUGAAACAUCCUAGAAGCACCAUUAACAUCGUAAUUAUAGGCAUAACCAGAAACCAUAGUGUUCCAAGAAACUACACUUUUGAUGCGCAUUUUAUCAAACACUUUCCUGGCGUCAUCCAUUCGUUCAAGCUUCGCAUACAUCCCAAUCAAUUCAUUCCCCACAUGCAAAUGAUUUUGGAACCCAAAUUGCACAACAUGACAAUGUAGAUUUUUGCACAUGUUAAAAGCACCCAAAUUAGAAGAAGCCCUCAAAAGCAGAGGAAAAGUAAACCCAUCCCCCAAAACUCCAUAAUUUCUCAUUUUCCCAUACAGUUGAAGCGCUUCUAUGCAAUACCCAUGAUAUACAUUGGCUCUUAUAAUCGAAUUCCAUAACAAGAAGUUGGAAUAACAUUCAAAUGGCGCAGAACCAAACACUUUUCGGGCAUCAGAAACAAGCCCAUAACGGGAAUAGAUGGACACAAGCCGGGCGGAGACGAACGCUGAACAAUAGGCACCGGUGACAACGGUGGCGGAAUGAACUUGUUU
This 1524-nucleotide long non-coding RNA is filed under the name Cucumis sativus (cucumber). Its description in RNAcentral is "long non-coding RNA (CSAT_LNC001301)". The record is from RNAcentral. Lineage: Eukaryota; Viridiplantae; Streptophyta; Magnoliopsida; Cucurbitales; Cucurbitaceae.